UACGUAGGGUGCGAGCGUUGUCCGGAAUUAUUGGGCGUAAAGGGCUCGUAGGCGGUUUGUCGCGUCGGGAGUGAAAACACCGGGCUUAACUCGGUGCUUGCUUUCGAUACGGGCAGACUGGAGGUAUGCAGGGGAGAACGGAAUUCCUGGUGUAGCGGUGAAAUGCGCAGAUAUCAGGAGGAACACCGGUGGCGAAGGCGGUUCUCUGGGCAUUACCUGACGCUGAGGAGCGAAAGUGUGGGGAGCGAACAGG
RNAcentral lists this ribosomal RNA (253 nucleotides) under uncultured bacterium. RNAcentral's name for it is "partial 16S ribosomal RNA". It matches the Rfam family "Bacterial small subunit ribosomal RNA", at positions 524 to 776 of the family's 1533-position model. The record is from RNAcentral.